Molecule: transfer RNA, 73 nt
Organism: Felis catus (domestic cat)
Lineage: Eukaryota; Metazoa; Chordata; Mammalia; Carnivora; Felidae
Rfam family: tRNA
About the family: Transfer RNA (tRNA) molecules are approximately 80 nucleotides in length. Their secondary structure includes four short double-helical elements and three loops (D, anti-codon, and T loops).
Source: Rfam
GCCCAGUUGGCUCAGUAGGAGGAGCAUGGGACUCUUGAUCUCAGGGUUGUGAGUUCGAGCCCCACACUGGGUG